UUCGGACCAGGCUUCAUUCC
This 20-nucleotide non-coding RNA is filed under the name Arabidopsis thaliana (thale cress). Lineage: Eukaryota; Viridiplantae; Streptophyta; Magnoliopsida; Brassicales; Brassicaceae. RNAcentral also lists the same sequence under 1 other name. The record is from RNAcentral.